CCUACGGGUGGCAGCAGUGGGGGAUAUUGCACAAUGGGGGGAACCCUGAUGCAGCGACGCCGCGUGGGUGAAGGAGCGUUUCGGCGCGUAAAGCCCUAUUGGCAGGGAAGAAGAUGACGGUACCUGACCACGACGCCCCGGCUAACUACGUGCCAGCGGCGGCGGUACUACGCAGGGGGCAAGCGUUAUCCGGAUUUACUGGGUGUAAGGGGGGCGCGGAGGGCAAUGCAAGCCAGGAGUGAAAGCCCGGGGCCCAACGCCGGGACUGCUCUUGAAACUGCAUGGCUGGAGUGCAGGAGGGGCAGGCGGAGUUCGUGGUGUAGCGGUGAAAUGCGUAGAUAUUAGAAAGAACACCGAUGGCGAAGGCAGCCUGCUAGGCUGUGACUGACGUUGAGGCCCGAAGGCGUGGGGAGCAAACAGGAUUAGAUACCCUUGUAGUC
RNAcentral lists this ribosomal RNA (440 nucleotides) under uncultured bacterium. RNAcentral describes it as "partial 16S ribosomal RNA". It matches the Rfam family "Bacterial small subunit ribosomal RNA", at positions 338 to 795 of the family's 1533-position model. The record is from RNAcentral.